UCGAGCGGACCGACGGGAGCUUGCUCCCUUAGGUCAGCGGCGGACGGGUGAGUAACACGUGGGUAACCUGCCUGUAAGACUGGGAUAACUCCGGGAAACCGGGGCUAAUACCGGAUGCUUGAUUGAACCGCAGGUUCAAUCAUAAAAGGUGGCUUUUAGCUACCACUUGCAGAUGGACCCGCGGCGCAUAGCUAGUUGGUGAGGUAACGGCUCACCAAGGCGACGAUGCGUAGCCCACCUGAGAGGGUGAUCGGCCACACUGGGACUGAGACACGGCCCAGACUCCUACGGGAGGCAGCAGUAGGGAAUCUUCCGCAAUGGACGAAAGUCUGACGGAGCAACGCCCCGUGAGUGAUGAAGGUUUUCGGAUCGUAAAACUCUUUUGUUAGGGAAGAACAAGUACCGUUCGAAUAGGGCGGCACCUUGACGGUACCUAACCAGAAAGCCACGGCUAACUACGUGCCA
Molecule: ribosomal RNA, 465 nt
Filed under: Bacillus sp. (in: firmicutes)
Lineage: Bacteria; Bacillati; Bacillota; Bacilli; Caryophanales; Bacillaceae
Description: bacterial SSU rRNA
Rfam family: Bacterial small subunit ribosomal RNA
Source: RNAcentral